Molecule: long non-coding RNA, 275 nt
Filed under: Nicotiana benthamiana
Lineage: Eukaryota; Viridiplantae; Streptophyta; Magnoliopsida; Solanales; Solanaceae
Description: long non-coding RNA (NBEN_LNC028584)
Source: RNAcentral
CUCAAAAUCCAUGGAGAAAUGAUUCUGCACUUGUGUUAUUGAGCUCAAAAGGUCACCAAUAGAAAGAGAACUAACAGAUCUCGUGAGUCGAAUCCAAAAUCGAAGCUCUUGACUCUGAUUACUAUAUCAAACUGAUCAAUGGAACAUUAAUUGAUGCACUACUGCUGUCUCAAGCUAAGCUUCAAUGGUGGUGAGGCUGUGGCUACUACACCAUGCGAACUCUGAGAAGGAGAAAGAAGGAAGUGAGAAGACGAGAGAAGAUAUCAGAAUCGUAC